RNAcentral lists this long non-coding RNA (448 nucleotides) under Cottoperca gobio. Its description in RNAcentral is "lncRNA (ENSCGOG00000021177.1)". Lineage: Eukaryota; Metazoa; Chordata; Actinopteri; Perciformes; Bovichtidae. The record is from RNAcentral.
CUCACCUCUGUCUGACCUCUGUCUGACCUGCACGGAUCAUCUGUCUCCUGCUUUGCCUUUUUCUGUAUUUUGACCUCCGCGAGACUCCGUCUGUCCUCCUCCCUGUAGGUAGCGUCUCUGGAGUGCAUCUUUGACGGUUCCUCAGCGUUAGGACAGCAGCACGUCCCGGAACUCCCCUCCCCUACGCCCUCCACCCUCUAUAGCCACGGCGAGGACAGCCCCCUCCCCUCCUGCUCCGCCAACCCUUACCCCCCAAUCCAGCAGGCAGAGGCCACCCCGCCCUCCUCUCCCAUAAUCCCUGUGAUCCCAGUCUCGCCAAUCGCAGCCGAGACCACCAUCAUCCCUCCGACGUCACAGGUUUCUUUUUGUUUUGCUUUUUAUUUUCCUCCACUUCUCUGUCCUCCAUCUUUAGCUUUACCUCCCGGUGUGUUUAUUUGUUUGGCUGCUG